This 503-nucleotide ribosomal RNA is filed under the name uncultured bacterium. Its description in RNAcentral is "partial 16S ribosomal RNA". It matches the Rfam family "Bacterial small subunit ribosomal RNA", at positions 30 to 523 of the family's 1533-position model. The record is from RNAcentral.
AUUGAACGCUGGCGGCAGGCUUAACACAUGCAAGUCGAGCGGUGUGAUGGUGCUUGCACUAUCACUUAGCGGCGGACGGGUGAGUAAUGCUUAGGAAUCUGCCUAUUAGUGGGGGACAACAUCUCGAAAGGGAUGCUAAUACCGCAUGCGUCCUACGGGAGAAAGCAGGGGAUCACUUGUGACCUUGCGCUAAUAGAUGAGCCUAAGUCGGAUUAGCUAGUUGGUGGGGUAAAGGCCUACCAAGGCGACGAUCUGUAGCGGGUCUGAGAGGAUGAUCCGCCACACUGGGACUGAGACACGGACCAGACUCCUACGGGAGGCAGCAGUGGGGAAUAUUGGACAAUGGGGGGAACCCUGAUCCAGCCAUGCCGCGUGUGUGAAGAAGGCCUUUUGGUUGUAAAGCACUUUAAGCGAGGAGGAGGCUACUUAGAUUAAUACUCUGGGAUAGUGGACGUUACUCGCAGAAUAAGCACCGGCUAACUCUGUGCCAGCCGCCGCCGUAA